RNAcentral lists this ribosomal RNA (439 nucleotides) under uncultured bacterium. RNAcentral's name for it is "partial 16S ribosomal RNA". It matches the Rfam family "Bacterial small subunit ribosomal RNA", at positions 338 to 795 of the family's 1533-position model. The record is from RNAcentral.
CCUACGGGAGGCAGCAGUGGGGAAUAUUGCACAAUGGGCGAAAGCCUGAUGCAGCAACGCCGCGUGGGCGAUGAAGGCCUUCGGGUCGUAAAGCUCUGUCCGCAGGGAAGAUGGUGACGGUACUUGAGGAGGAAGCCCCGGCUAACUACGUGCCAGCAGCCGCGGUAAUACGUAGGGGGCUAGCGUUAUCCGGAAUUACUGGGCGUAAAGGGUGCGUAGGUGGUUUCUUAAGUCAGAGGUGAAAGGCGACGGCUCAACCGUAGUAAGCCUUUGAAACUGGGAAACUUGAGUGCAGGAGAGGAGAGUGGAAUUCCUAGUGUAGCGGUGAAAUGCGUAGAUAUUAGGAGGAACACCAGUUGCGAAGGCGGCUUUCUGGACUGUAACUGACACUGAGGCACGAAAGUGUGGGUAUCAAACAGGAUUAGAUACCCGUGUAGUC